GAGGCAGCAGUGGGGAAUUUUGGACAAUGGGCGCAAGCCUGAUCCAGCCAUGCCGCGUGCGGGAAGAAGGCCUUCGGGUUGUAAACCGCUUUUGUCAGGGAAGAAAAGGUUCUGGUUAAUACCUGGGACUCAUGACGGUACCUGAAGAAUAAGCACCGGCUAACUACGUGCCAGCAGCCGCGGUAAUACGUAGGGUGCAAGCGUUAAUCGGAAUUACUGGGCGUAAAGCGUGCGCAGGCGGUUAUGCAAGACAGAGGUGAAAUCCCCGGGCUCAACCUGGGAACUGCCUUUGUGACUGCAUAGCUAGAGUACGGUAGAGGGGGAUGGAAUUCCGCGUGUAGCAGUGAAAUGCGUAGAUAUGCGGAGGAACACCGAUGGCGAAGGCAAUCCCCUGGACCUGUACUGACGCUCAUGCACGAAAGCGUGGGGAGCAAACAGGAUUAGAUACCCUGGUAGUCCACGCCCUAAACGAUGUCAACUGGUUGUUGGGAGGGUUUCUUCUCAGUAACGUAGCUAACGCGUGAAGUUGACCGCCUGGGGA
This 541-nucleotide ribosomal RNA is filed under the name uncultured bacterium. Its description in RNAcentral is "bacterial SSU rRNA". It matches the Rfam family "Bacterial small subunit ribosomal RNA", at positions 345 to 879 of the family's 1533-position model. The record is from RNAcentral.